RNAcentral lists this small RNA (168 nucleotides) under Arabidopsis thaliana (thale cress). Its description in RNAcentral is "ATSL099640". The record is from RNAcentral. Lineage: Eukaryota; Viridiplantae; Streptophyta; Magnoliopsida; Brassicales; Brassicaceae.
UAAGCUUUUAGGUUCCGGAGUAGCUGUCUCAUGUUCGAACAAACUUAAUAAAAUAUAGAGUCUUUGAUCUAAAAAAAUGCAAUGUUCAAAACGAUGGUUUGGAAGACGGAUAUGUUUUUGUUGAUAUUCAAAAAGGAGUUUUAUAUCGAAUAGGGAUAAUUUCUUUAC